GAGUUUGAAUUUGGUGACUUUUAGCUUAUAUUUUAGCACCAUUUCGUGUAUAUGGUGUAUGCCUAUAAAUAUUGGAUCCAUAUUGAAGGCUAAAAACAUUAAGACAACAUUAGAGAUUCCAUAUUACCCCACAAUCAAAGAUCAAAAUUUGAUCAUUCAUAUUCAUAUUCAUAUUCAACCCUUGUGUUCUUCAAGUUUUCAAGAAUUUUUCACUUGUGCUUUGUGAUUAAUUCUUGUUAAGGCUUGUUAAAAUCCUACAAACCAUUUGCCAUCAACCUUCAAAGCAUCUCAAAUCAAUAGAAGAAUGGACAAAUAUCGUUUGAGGACAACGAUAUCCUGUUCAAGCCAUUGUUGGUACAAGAUCGUGAUUAUCUUGUUCUUGGCAUUUUCGGUUCAUGUUUCGUGAUUUGUACUCCUACCCGGUAAAAAUUUAGACAACAAUCUCAAACUAUAUUUCUGCGAUGGAGAGCGAGACAACGAUGACAACAAUCAAACUCAUGAAUCAAGACUCGAUGCGGUUAGAUCAGUUCCAUGGAACAAAAUACACUCGACGGAAAGACAAAUUGAAGUUUCUUCUCACUGUAUUGAAGAUCUUCUACAUCCUAGAUUCGAAUCUUGCACCAAUACUGGAACCAACAAAUGGAGAAAUCGAAGCGGUGAGAAAUGAAAGACAAAAGUGCCAAGAAGAUGAGUUAAUAUGUCGCGGUCACAUUCUCAAUGCAUUAUCGGAUCGUUUAUAUGACUUAUAUACAAACACAACUUCGGCAAAUAAAAUUUGGGAUGCGCUCGAAAGUAAGUACAAAGUGAAAGAAGAAGGUACAAAGAAAUUUUUAAUUUCUAAAUACUUCGAUUUUAAAUUUUUAGAGAAUAUUCUCCUUCUUCCCCAAAUACAUGAAAUACAAGUAAUUGUCAAUAAGUUGAAGGCGGUGAAACUUGAAAUACCGAACCUUUCAAGUGGGGGCUAUAAUUGCCAAACUUUUCGGAACUUGGAAAGGAUACCAGAAGAAGAUAAUGCAUAGUUCCGAAGAUUAUUCUUUGGAACAACUGCAAAAAAAUCUUCGGAUUGAGGAAGAGUCGAGAAUGCGUGAUAAAAGUGAUUCUCAUAAGGACACUUCCAAAGUAAAUGUUGUAGAAAAAUUCAAACCGCUAAUAAAAUCCAAUAAAAGGAAGCCUUCGAGAAACCUUAAUAAGUUCAAAAAGAAGACCAAAGGAGGAUGCUUUGUUUGAGGGAAAUCUAGAUACUACGCAAAAGAUUGUAGACUCCGAAAACACAACAACUCCGAGGGUAGAGCGAAUUCCAUCCAAUAAAACAAGAUUGUGAUUACCGUGAGCGAAAUAAAUGCAAUUAAGGGAAAUGUUUCUGGCUGGUGGUAUGAUACUUGUGCCACGGUAUAUGUAUCAUAUGACAAAUCUUUGUUCCAAACGUACAAUAAAGUGGAUGGAGACCAAGAGAUCCAAAUGGGUAAUGAGGUGCGGUCCAAAGUAAUUGGAAAAUGAAGUGUAGAAAUUAUCUUCAUUUCUGGAAAAAAUGUUACUCUCACAAAUGUACUACAUGUUCCGAUUAUGAAUAGGAACUUAGUUAGUAGAAAUCUUUUGGAAAAAUCGAGCAUUAAAAGUGUCUUUGAGUCCGAUAAACUUGUUUUAUCACUUAAUGGAGAAUUUGUUGAAAAUGGCUAUUCAUGUGAAGGAAUGGUCAAACUUUGUACUGUUGACAAUAAAAUAAAUAAAGUUGAUUUUGCUUACAUGAUUGAUUUAUUUUCUUUAUGGUAUGCUAGAUUAGGUCACAUAGGUCAAAGUACCAUGAAACGUAUGAGAAAUUGUGACUUAAUUUCAUAUGAUGGAAAUGAUGUCAUUAAAUGCAAAAUAUGUGUAGAAGCAAAAAUGGUUAAAAAGCCUUGUCAAAGCGUUAAGAGGACUUCUAGCAUAUUAGAAUUAAUUCAUUCCAAUAUAUGUGAAUUAAAUGAGAUGCUAACAAGAGGUGGAAAUAGAUAUUUCAUAACAUUUAUUGAUGAUUGCUCAAGAUAUACCUAUAUUUAUUUGAUGAAACAUAAACACGAGGCCUUUGAUUUGUUUAAGACUUAUAAGAAUUAAGUUAAAAAUCAUUUAAAUAAGAAAAUAAAGACCUUAAGAAGUGAUAGAGGUGGUUAAUACUUUUCUAGUAAAUUUAAUUUAUAUUGUGAACAACAUGACAUAAUUCACCAAUGUUCUGCACCUAGGACGCUCAAACAAAACGAUUUGGCUGAAAGGAAGAAUAGAACCUUAGUAGAAAUUAUUAAUGUCAUGCUUAUAUAUGCUAAGUUGCCAUUUAAUUUAUGGGGUGAAGUUUUAUUAAGUGCAUGUAGGAUACUUAAUAGGAUUUCUUCUAAAUAUACAAAUGUUUCUCCUUAUGAAUUGUGGAAAGGAAGAAAACCGAACAUUGGAUACUUCAAAGUGUGGGGUGUCUCGCUUAUUGCAAGAACACAAAUCCUAAUAGGACCAAACUGGGUCCAAGAGGCAUUAAAUGUGCUUUUGUUGGAUAUGCUAAUAAUAACAAAUCUUAUAGAUUGCUAAACUUGGAGACCAAUAUGAUUAUCGAAUCAAGUGAUGUAGAGUUCUUUGAAAAUUUGUUAUCAUCGGAUAAUGAAUUGAAGGAAAAUAUUGAAAAUAUCCCUAGCUUAAGUGGAACACUUGAUGAAAUAUCUUCUAAAGAUGUUGAUGAGUCUAGUGAACCACGAAGAACCAAGAGAACUCGAGUUGAGAAGUCUUUUGGACCGGAUGAAAUUGAUUCUCAACUUAUCUCCUUUUACUUAGUAGAAGGAAAUGAGUUGAAUAUUGUAAGAACAAUUCCUUUUGUUCAACAAGUGGAAACCAACCCUAAAACUUAUAAAGAAGCUAUGACUUCUUGUCAUAGCAUUUUUUGGAAAGUAAUUAAAGAUGAAAUGGAUUCGAUAAUGUCUAAUAAAACUUGGGAAACUUGUCGAUCUACCACCGGGAUCCAAACCUAUUGGAUGUAAAUGUGUAUUUGAGAGGAAAUAUAAUGUCGAUGACUCUCUAAAUACUUUCAAAACUAGAUUAGUAUCUAAAAGAUAUCGACAAAAUGAAGGAUUCGACUAUUUUGACACUUAUGCACCGGUAGCCAGAAUAACAUUGAUUAUGAUAUUAUUUAAUUGGCUUCAAUAUAUGACCUAUAUGUUCAUCAAAUGGAUGUCAAGAUAGCAUUCUUAAAUGGGGAUCUCGAUGAAGAGGUCCAUAUGGAGCAACCGAAGGGUUUAUUCUACCUGAAAAUGAACAUAAGGUAUGCAAGUUAAUAAAAUCUUUAUAUGGUUUGAAGCAGGCGCCUAAGAAAUUGCAUGAAAAGUUUGACUUAGCUAUAACAUCAUUCGGAUCUAAACAUAAUAGCGUAGAUAGAUGUUUAUAUUCUAAAGUGUAUGAUGAUUAUGUGACAUUUAUAUGUUUAGAUGUUGACGACAUGUUGAUUAUGAGUAAUCACAUUGAUGGUAUAGAAGAAACAAAGAUGUUUCUAUCUUCCACAUUCAAAAUGAAGGAUUUUGGUCAAGUGGAUACCAUUUUAGGUAUCAAAAUCACUGCUAGGGAUUAUCACCUAAGUCAAUCAUAUUAUAUUGAAAAUGUGAUAAACAAGUUCAAACACUUGAACAUAAAAGAAUAUAGUACACCGAUUAAUCCAAGUUCAAAACUUGUAAAGAAUGAUGAAAGGGCGAUUGCUCAAUUGGAAUAUGCUAGUGCAAUAAGAAGUCUUAUGUAUGUAGUUCAAUGCACAAGACUGGACAUAGCCUAUGCCAUAAGUAAACUUAGCAGGUUUACUAGCAAUUCGAGUAAUAAUUAUUGGAAGGCCAUUGGAAAAGUUCUUGGAUACUUAAAGAAAACUAAAAACCUGGGCAUACAAUAUACUAAAUUCCCGACGGUAUUGGAAGGAUUUACCGAUGCUAGUUGGAUAUCUAGCGCGGGCGAGAGUAAAUCCACUUCGGGUUGUGUGUUCACUCUUGGAGGAUAUGUUGUUUCUUGAAAAUCAAAGAAACAAAUAUGCAUAACACACUCGACCAUAGAAUUUGAAUUUGUAGCCUUAUCGAAUGCCGGGAAAGAGGCCGAGUGGCUUAAGGAUCUCCUUUAUGAGAUACCUUUGGAAUCGAAGAAUAUUUUUUCAAUACCUAUCAUGUGUGAUAGUCAAACCACAUUAGCAAAAGCAUAUAAUGAGGUAUACAACGGAAAGUCUAGAUACAUGAGUCUUAGACAUGACUAUAUAAGGAAGUUAAUCAAGGAUGGAAUAAUUUUCCUAAAUUAUGUAAGGUCAAUUGAGAAUUUGACAGAUCCUUUGACUAAACCUUUAAAUAGAGAUUUAGCACCUGUUUGAUCCCCAUUAAAUUAAAUUACAUUGCAUUAUAUUUUUCUCUCUCAUAUUUUCAAUCACACAAUCUUCCAUAAAAUAAUAUAACACGUAAAUCGAAAACUUUUCAUUCUUUUUCAACCACUCAUUUUUCUAAAAAUACUAUUCCCCUCAUUUUCAUUUUCAGGUAAUGGGGAUCAAACAGGGGCUUAGUAGUAUCUACUUCGAGUAUGAUGGGGUUGAAACUCUUUAACUAAAAAGUUUCACCAAUGACAGCAACUCUACCUGUCAUUACUCAAAAGGUAAUUUACAGGUUCAUAAGUUAACAACAAGUCAUUCGAUAUGUGGAUAGUUGCAGCAUUAUUAAAAAUCCACAAUAAUCCUAUCCUAAUUAAAAUAAUGAUGGUUGUUACUGAAAUGAAGGAUGAGCUUUAAGCUCUUAAUGAAGUUCAGUGCUAAAACAUAAGUACAUCUAAAAGUAAUAAAAGUACUGGAAGAACUUUACCUAAACAAUCUUCAAGGUGGUAUCGCCUUAAUAGAGAAUUGAAGUUUCUCUCUUAAAAGAUUGUCAAAAAGGAUAAGCGCAAGACCAUAAAAGCGCUAAACUAGUUAUGAGGAACUUGAGAACACGUGGUACUCAUGUGUGUGUGUUCUUAUCGGUAUUGUCAUAUGGAAUAACUGGUUCAAAGCUACACGCUACCUUUGAUUUCGAUUAUACUUUGUUUGAAUUACACUAUGGUUAGAUUUAAAUCGAAAGAUAUCUAAUCCUUAUGAUGAGGAUCGUAUAUCAUGAAUAUGAGACUUGUUAAUUUUGAACAAGUGAGGAAUUGUUGUGAUUAUGUUGUUAAAAACCAACAACAAUAAAAAAUAAAAAAAGUGGUUCAUGCGACCGCAUGGCUUUACAUGGCAUAAAGCCAUGCGGUCGCAUGGCCAUAUGCCGAGAGCAUUUGGUCUCGGCAUGGGUGAACCAUGCGAUCGCAUGGUUUUGUACCAUGCAAUCGCAUGGUACAAUUUCUUGACUGUUGGAGGUCGGUUUUUGGCUAUUACAAGUUUGAAUUUGGUGACUUUUAGCUUAUAUUUUAGCACCAUUUCGUGUAUGUGAUAUAUGCCUAUAAAUAUUGGAUCCAUGUUGAAGGCUAAAAACAUCAAGAAAAUAUUAGAGAUUCUAUAUUAUCCCAAUCAAAUAUCAAAAUUUGAUCAUUUAUAUUCAUAUUCAACCCUUGUGUUAUUCAAGUUUUCAAGAAUUUUUCACUUUUGCUUUGGUGAUUAAUUCUUGUUAAUGCUUGUUAAAAUCUUACAAACCAUUUGCCAUCAACCUUUGAAGCAUCUCAAAUCAAUAGGAGAAGGGGCAAAUAUCGUUUGAGGACAACGAUAUCGUGUUCAAGCCAUUCGUUAAUACAAGUUCGUGAUUAUCUUGUUCUUGGCGUUGCCAGUUCAUGUUUCGUGAUUUCUACUCCAACCCGGUAAAAAUUUAGACAACAAUCUACCUUACCAAACAUGCCACAAGUUUGUUGCUGAUCUUUGGUUGCAAAAUGUCUUUU
This 5862-nucleotide long non-coding RNA is filed under the name Olea europaea (common olive). Its description in RNAcentral is "long non-coding RNA (OEUR_LNC006240)". The record is from RNAcentral. Lineage: Eukaryota; Viridiplantae; Streptophyta; Magnoliopsida; Lamiales; Oleaceae.